CGCGCAGGCGGCCCGAUAAGUGGUGUGUGAAAUCCCCUGGCUCAACCAGGGAAUUGCGCUCCAAACUGUCGGGCUUGAGGGCAGUAGAGGAAACUGGAAUUCCUGGUGUAGCGGUGAAAUGCGUAGAUAUCAGGAGGAACACUGUUGGCGAAGGCGAGUUUCUGGGCUGUCCCUGACGCUGAGGCGCGAAAGCGUGGGGGAGCAAGCA
Molecule: ribosomal RNA, 208 nt
Filed under: uncultured bacterium
Lineage: Bacteria
Description: partial 16S ribosomal RNA
Rfam family: Bacterial small subunit ribosomal RNA
Source: RNAcentral